UCGAGCGAACAGAGAAGGAGCUUGCUCCUUUGACGUUAGCGGCGGACGGGUGAGUAACACGUGGGCAACCUACCCUAUAGUUUGGGAUAACUCCGGGAAACCGGGGCUAAUACCGAAUAAUCUAUUGUCCCUCAUGGGACAAUACUGAAAGACGGUUUCGGCUGUCGCUAUAGGAUGGGCCCGCGGCGCAUUAGCUAGUUGGUGAGGUAACGGCUCACCAAGGCAACGAUGCGUAGCCGACCUGAGAGGGUGAUCGGCCACACUGGGACUGAGACACGGCCCAGACUCCUACGGGAGGCAGCAGUAGGGAAUCUUCCACAAUGGGCGAAAGCCUGAUGGAGCAACGCCGCGUGAGUGAAGAAGGAUUUCGGUUCGUAAAACUCUGUUGUAAGGGAAGAACAAGUACAGUAGUAACUGGCUGUACCUUGACGGUACCUUAUUAGAAAGCCACGGCUAACUACGUGCCAGCAGCCGCGGUAAUACGUAGGUGGCAAGCGUUGUCCGGAAUUAUUGGGCGUAAAGCGCGCGCAGGUGGUUUCUUAAGUCUGAUGUGAAAGCCCACGGCUCAACCGUGGAGGGUCAUUGGAAACUGGGAGACUUGAGUGCAGAAGAGGAUAGUGGAAUUCCAAGUGUAGCGGUGAAAUGCGUAGAGAUUUGGAGGAACACCAGUGGCGAAGGCGACUAUCUGGUCUGUAACUGACACUGAGGCGCGAAAGCGUGGGGAGCAAACAGGAUUAGAU
RNAcentral lists this ribosomal RNA (740 nucleotides) under Lysinibacillus sp. B-14s. RNAcentral describes it as "bacterial SSU rRNA". It matches the Rfam family "Bacterial small subunit ribosomal RNA", at positions 62 to 783 of the family's 1533-position model. Lineage: Bacteria; Bacillati; Bacillota; Bacilli; Caryophanales; Bacillaceae. The record is from RNAcentral.